GCAUGGUGGUGCAGUGGGUAGCACUGCAGCCUCACAGCUCCAGGGUCCCCAGUUAGAUCCUGGGUUCCUGUCCGUGCA
Pangasius djambal is the source of this 78-nucleotide non-coding RNA. The record is from the annotation of a GenBank genome assembly. Lineage: Eukaryota; Metazoa; Chordata; Actinopteri; Siluriformes; Pangasiidae.